UACGUAGGGGGCAAGCGUUGUCCGGAUUUAUUGGGCGUAAAGAGCGUGUAGGCGGCCACACAGGUCAGCUGUGAAAACUCGAGGCUCAACCUCGAGACGUCGGUUGAAACCGUAUGGCUAGAGUCCGGAAGAGGAGAGUGGAAUUCCCGGUGUAGCGGUGAAAUGCGCAGAUAUCGGGAGGAACACCCGUGGCGAAGGCGGCACUCUGGGACGGUACUGACACUGAGGCACGAAGGCCAGGGGAGCAAACGGG
RNAcentral lists this ribosomal RNA (253 nucleotides) under uncultured bacterium. Its description in RNAcentral is "partial 16S ribosomal RNA". It matches the Rfam family "Bacterial small subunit ribosomal RNA", at positions 524 to 776 of the family's 1533-position model. The record is from RNAcentral.